GGGAUAUUGGGCAAUGGGCGCCAACCUGACCCAGCAACGCCGCGGGAAGGAAGAAGGCGGUCGGGUUGUAAACUUCUUUUCUCAGGGACGAAGAAAGUGACGGUACCUGAGGAAUAAGCCACGGCUAACUACGUGCCAGCAGCCGCGGUAAUACGUAGGUGGCAAGCGUUAUCCGGAUUUAUUGGGUGUAAAGGGCGUGUAGGCGGGAAUGCAAGUCAGAUGUGAAAACUCAGGGCUCAACCCUGAGCCUGCAUUUGAAACUGUAUUUCUUGAGUGCUGGAGAGGCAAUCGGAAUUCCGUGUGUAGCGGUGAAAUGCGUAGAUAUACGGAGGAACACCAGUGGCGAAGGCGGAUUGCUGGACAGUAACUGACGCUGAGGCGCGAAAGCGUGGGGAGCAAAC
Molecule: ribosomal RNA, 401 nt
Filed under: uncultured bacterium
Lineage: Bacteria
Description: bacterial SSU rRNA
Rfam family: Bacterial small subunit ribosomal RNA
Source: RNAcentral